UGCGUGCGUGUGUGCGUGUGUGUGUGUGUGCGCGUGUGUGUGUGCGUGCGCACACACACACACACACACACACACACAGU
RNAcentral lists this microRNA precursor (80 nucleotides) under Podarcis lilfordi (Lilford's wall lizard). The record is from RNAcentral. Lineage: Eukaryota; Metazoa; Chordata; Lepidosauria; Squamata; Lacertidae.